GCUGGGCAUGGUGGCUCAUGCCUGUAAUCCCAACAAUUUGGGAGGCUGAGGCAGGUGGAUCACUUGAGGUCAGGAGUUCAAGACCAGCCUGGCCAACAUGGUGAAACCCUGUCUCUA
This 117-nucleotide non-coding RNA is filed under the name Pan troglodytes (chimpanzee). Lineage: Eukaryota; Metazoa; Chordata; Mammalia; Primates; Hominidae. The record is from Rfam by way of RNAcentral.